CUGAGCACCAGACUCCUACAGUUGAGAUCAUUGAUUCCAUCCCUCUUUGCCCGCAAACCCAGAGGUUACAAUGAGCUAGAUAAUUGGAAGGCAACAUAGUUCCGCCAGUUUCUCUUGUACACAGGGAAACUAGUGCUGAAAGGAGUGCUCAGAGAGGACCUCUAUCAACAUUUACUGACAUUCAGUGUAGCAAUUGGGUUUCUUCCAAAGACAACGAUGGACCCUCAGCAUCUCACUCCCGAGCUUCAGCUGCAGACUACUGCCAGACAGAAAUGUUGGAUGGCAUUCAUAAAUAUUAUCCAUCUCAGCCUGAUUUGCAUGUCUAAUCCUGGAGACUACCAGGCAAAUAAUGAGCACACUUGCCACCAGUCCAGUUUGGAGCUGCUUACGGGAAACGAGGGACAAUUGCCCUUAUUGACAUGAGUGUCUACAAUGUCAUCAAACGGGCUAUCAUGUGGUGCCAUGCUGGGCUGGAGGAGAAUGUGGUGGAGUCUUUAAUUUCAGAGGUCCUUAAACAUGCACCAGCCCACUGCCAGCAGCAGCAG
Long non-coding RNA from Esox lucius (northern pike), 545 nucleotides. NCBI's taxonomy places the organism in Eukaryota, Metazoa, Chordata, Actinopteri, Esociformes, Esocidae. The record is from Ensembl.